UGCCCAGCAACUCCUAUCCCUACCUCCUCGUGGUACUGGCCGGGGUACGAGAAACCUUAGGGAAGAUCGGGUAACCAACCCCCGGUGGGAACUUUGGUCAUAUGCUGACAGGGAAGG
This is a non-coding RNA of Aedes aegypti (yellow fever mosquito), 117 nucleotides long. The record is from Rfam. NCBI's taxonomy places the organism in Eukaryota, Metazoa, Arthropoda, Insecta, Diptera, Culicidae.